GUAGAGACAGGUUGAAAUCCCGCCCACCCUAAUACAUAUUGGAUCUAACCAAAGUCCACACUCCUGUAUCUAAUGGCAGACAAUGACCCGAAGGACCCUCCGCCACCAUACUACUCUGUGGCAGCGGACCCACAGACGCCUCCUAUGACCUAUGAUGAGGUAAUUUGUCAGGACAAAUAUGGGUUCACACAGAAACCUGUGCCAUACUAUGUUCCAAAGGAGCCAGCACCAGUAAAGGUAGACGCCGUCAUCAUCACUACACAGCAUGUUGUUGUUCCUACAAAAAGGCAGAAGUCUUGUGGACGGAGUGCCAAAUGUUGGGGUGGAUGGGUAGGUGCGCUGCUGGUGUUGGCUCUCAUUGGACUGGCCAUCUGGCUUGGAGUGUGCUAUGGAUCCAAGUCGAAUUCUGGACAUUAUGAGAAUGACUGCAGGGGACAAGAUUGCAAAGAACAGGAACAUGACAGUGAUUGCAGAGGAAAAGACUGCAAGGAACAGGAAAAUGACAGCGACUGCAGAGGAAAAGACUGCAAGGAACAGGAACAGGAACAUGACAGCGAAGAAGAACACCACAGGACGCAAGAUGGCACGAGUGUACCUGACACCUGCUCCAACUCUUCCAAGCAGUGUGAUGGCAUCCAAAACUGCCAACAG
Molecule: long non-coding RNA, 651 nt
Filed under: Sinocyclocheilus anshuiensis
Lineage: Eukaryota; Metazoa; Chordata; Actinopteri; Cypriniformes; Cyprinidae
Description: lncRNA (ENSSANG00000007889.1)
Source: RNAcentral